UGAAGGCCUCUACAGGUGUAACAUCAGCGGUCAUGGAGAGUCUCCAUCCAGCAGGAUCUCUGUCUCAGCACAACCUUCAACCUUAGCUCCGCCCACUUCUUCACCUCCUGCCUCAGCCUCCCUCCAGGUCAGACUGGUCUGCCACCUAGUGGUCUUCUGUCCGUACUUCAUCUCCUCCCUCCUCAUGGUGUCUUUGUAUCGACACAGAGCCAAAGCAGGAAGCGACCUGCCCGUUUUCAUGGUGAUGGCUCCACCCAUCCACAGUGAUCAGGGAUUGGACAAUGAUUAUGAUGAUGUCACCACUGAGCAUUUAUUUUGAACUGAGCAGAUUAUAUCAUCACUGUUUUUUUGUUGUUGUUUUUUUUGUUUUGUUU
Long non-coding RNA from Fundulus heteroclitus (mummichog), 374 nucleotides. RefSeq lists it as uncharacterized. Lineage: Eukaryota; Metazoa; Chordata; Actinopteri; Cyprinodontiformes; Fundulidae. The record is from RefSeq and is a predicted model, not a curated record. The transcript has 3 exons.